Molecule: ribosomal RNA, 253 nt
Filed under: uncultured bacterium
Lineage: Bacteria
Description: partial 16S ribosomal RNA
Rfam family: Bacterial small subunit ribosomal RNA
Source: RNAcentral
UACGUAGGUGGCAAGCGUUAUCCGGAAUUACUGGGCGUAAAGCGAGUGUAGGUGGUUUUCCAAGUUGGAUGUGAAAGCCUUGAGCUCAACUCAAGAAAUGCAUUCAGGACUGGGAGACUAGAGGACCGGAGAGGAUAGUGGAAUUCCCAGUGUAGUGGUGAAAUACGUAGAGAUUGGGAAGAACACCAGUGGCGAAGGCGGCUAUCUGGACGGUUUCUGACACUAAGACUCGAAAGCGUGGGGAGCAAACAGG